This 400-nucleotide ribosomal RNA is filed under the name Bacillus anthracis str. 95014. Its description in RNAcentral is "bacterial LSU rRNA". It matches the Rfam family "Bacterial large subunit ribosomal RNA", at positions 2530 to 2925 of the family's 2925-position model. Lineage: Bacteria; Bacillati; Bacillota; Bacilli; Caryophanales; Bacillaceae. The record is from RNAcentral.
UGUCGGCUCAUCGCAUCCUGGGGCUGUAGUCGGUCCCAAGGGUUGGGCUGUUCGCCCAUUAAAGCGGUACGCGAGCUGGGUUCAGAACGUCGUGAGACAGUUCGGUCCCUAUCCGUCGUGGGCGUAGGAAAUUUGAGAGGAGCUGUCCUUAGUACGAGAGGACCGGGAUGGACGCACCGCUGGUGUACCAGUUGUUCUGCCAAGGGCAUAGCUGGGUAGCUAUGUGCGGAAGGGAUAAGUGCUGAAAGCAUCUAAGCAUGAAGCCCCCCUCAAGAUGAGAUUUCCCAUAGCGUAAGCUAGUAAGAUCCCUGAAAGAUGAUCAGGUUGAUAGGUUCGAGGUGGAAGCAUGGUGACAUGUGGAGCUGACGAAUACUAAUAGAUCGAGGACUUAACCAUAUAA